Molecule: ribosomal RNA, 492 nt
Filed under: uncultured bacterium
Lineage: Bacteria
Description: partial 16S ribosomal RNA
Rfam family: Bacterial small subunit ribosomal RNA
Source: RNAcentral
AGUGAACGCUGGCGGUAGGCCUAACACAUGCAAGUCGAACGGCAGCACAGUAAGAGCUUGCGCUUACGGGUGGCGAGUGGCGGACGGGUGAGGAAUACAUCGGAAUCUACUUUUUCGUGGGGGAUAACGUAGGGAAACUUACGCUAAUACCGCAUACGACCUACGGGUGAAAGCAGGGGAUCUUCGGACCUUGCGCGAUUGAAUGAGCCGAUGUCGGAUUAGCUAGUUGGCGGGGUAAAGGCGCACCAUGGCGACGAUCCGUAGCUGGUCUGAGAGGAUGAUCAGCCACACUGGAACUGAGACACGGUCCAGACUCCUACGGGAGGCAGCAGUGGGGAAUAUUGGACGAUGGGGGCAAGGCUGAUCCAGCCAUACCGCGUGGGUGAAGAAGGACUUCGGGUUGUAAAGCCAUUUUGUUGGGAAAGAAAAGCAGCAGGUUAAUACCCCGCUGUUCUGACGGUACCCAAAGAAUAAGCACCGGCUAACUUCGUG